This 435-nucleotide long non-coding RNA is filed under the name Lotus japonicus. RNAcentral's name for it is "long non-coding RNA (LJAP_LNC000075)". The record is from RNAcentral. Lineage: Eukaryota; Viridiplantae; Streptophyta; Magnoliopsida; Fabales; Fabaceae.
CUUAUUGUGUGGCUCAUCUCUCUCCCCUCCCUCCUCAACCUGUGACCUCUUCACCAGUAAAUGCGCCACCACGGCCAACUCCGACCAACCACGUCGGCGGCCGCCGCAGAUUUUCGGUGCGGUGGGUUGAUGGGUUUCUCUAUUUCUUUCUAAUUUGCAAGAAAUUUUGAAUAUUUUUGUGGGUUCAGUCGCCUUGAGUAUGCGUUUGCAAACACCAGAGAUUCUCACGCAUUCCUUUCCCCCACCUCCAUCUCCCUCAGACCCUCACCCCUUCCUAUUUAUCCCCAAAACUGUAGCCUUUCACCACCGAGAUUCUCGCCGGAAAACGCACCACCAGAGAAACACGCACGCGAACCUAGAUCUGGUGGUGGUGUUAUUAUUGACCUCAUUUUUGAAAAAUCUUUCUGAUUUUGUGCCCAGAUCUGGUGGUGAUUG